UGUAGGGGUAAGGUAGGCAGAGGUACAGUUGGUGCCUGUCAGGGGUGAGUGGCGGUUGUUUGACUGAGCAUAGUUGGGGUAAUGCUGUAAUCAGACAUGUGGUGAAGUCUGCCUUGGCUGAUGAUGGGCGGUCAUUUUGCUGAAUCAAUCAAUAAAUCAAGAUACAGCAAGUCA
Molecule: long non-coding RNA, 174 nt
Organism: Portunus trituberculatus (swimming crab)
Lineage: Eukaryota; Metazoa; Arthropoda; Malacostraca; Decapoda; Portunidae
Exons: 3
Source: RefSeq, a predicted model, not a curated record